GGACGACGCUGGCGGCGCGCCUAAACACAUGCAAGUCGAACGGAGAAAGAAACAGCUUGCUGGAUCUUUCUUAGUGGCGGACGGGUGAGUAACACGUGAGCAACCUGCCCUUCAGAGUGGAAUAACGUUUGGAAACGAACGCUAAUACCGCAUAACAUAGCGAGACCGCAUGAUCUUGCUAUCAAAGAUUUUAUCGGUGAAAGAUGGACUCGCGUCCGAUUAGGUAGUUGGUGAGGUAACGGCCCACCAAGCCGACGAUCGGUAGCCGGACUGAGAGGGUGACCGGCCACAUUGGGACUGAGACACGGCCCAAACUCCUACGGGAGGCAGCAGUGGGGAAUAUUGGGCAAUGGGCGAAAGCCUGACCCAGCAACGCCGCGUGAAGGAAGAAGGCCUUCGGGUUGUAAACUUCUUUACCAGGGACGAAGAACGUGACGGUACCUGGAGAAAAAGCAACGGCUAACUACGUG
This 470-nucleotide ribosomal RNA is filed under the name uncultured bacterium. RNAcentral describes it as "bacterial SSU rRNA". It matches the Rfam family "Bacterial small subunit ribosomal RNA", at positions 33 to 507 of the family's 1533-position model. The record is from RNAcentral.